This 496-nucleotide ribosomal RNA is filed under the name uncultured bacterium. RNAcentral's name for it is "bacterial SSU rRNA". It matches the Rfam family "Bacterial small subunit ribosomal RNA", at positions 28 to 505 of the family's 1533-position model. The record is from RNAcentral.
GACGAACGCUGGCGGCGUGCCUAAUGCAUGCAAGUCGAGCGGGCUACGAUCUUCGGAUUGUAGCUUAGCGGCGAACGGGUGAGUAACACGUAGGUGAUCUACCCUUCAGAGGAGGACAACCUCAGGAAACUGAGGCUAAACCUUCAUACGUUCACUGGUAGGGAUACUGGUGAAGAAAGAGUUACCUUAGUGGUAGCUGCUGAAGGAUGAGCCUGCGGCCCAUCAGGUAGUUGGUGAGGUAACGGCUCACCAAGCCGAAGACGGGUAACCGGUCUGAGAGGAUGUCCGGUCACACUGGGACUGAGACACGGCCCAGACUCCUACGGGAGGCAGCAGUCGAGAAUAGUCUACAAUGGCCGGAAGGCUGAUAGUGCGACGCCGCGUGAACGAGGGACGCCCUUCGGGGUGUAAAGUUCUUUUCUAUACGAGCAGUGCUAUAUAUAUGGAUAGUAUAUAUAGAGGAUAGUAGUAUAGGAAUAAGCAACGGCUAACUCCG